CCUACGGCGGGCAGCAGUGGGGAAUAUUACACAAUGGGGGGAACCCUGAUGCAGCGACGCCGCGUGAGCGAGGAAGUAUUUCGGUAUGUAAAGCUCUAUCAGCAGGGACGAAAAAAGACGGUACCUGACUAAGAAGCCCCGGCUAACUACGUGCCAGCAGCCGCGGUAAUACGUAGGGGGCAAGCGUUAUCCGGAUUUACUGGGUGUAAAGGGAGCGUAGACGGUUAUGUAAGUCUGGAGUGAAAGCCCGGGGCCCAACCCCGGGACUGCUUUGGAAACUGUGUAACUGGAGUACAGGAGGGGCAGGCGGAAUUCCUGGUGUAGCGGUGAAAUGCGUAGAUAGCAGGAGGAACACCGGCGGCGAAGGCGGCCUGCUGGACUGAAACUGACGUUGAGGCUCGAAAGCGUGGGGAGCAAACAGGAUUAGAUACCCGAGUAGUC
RNAcentral lists this ribosomal RNA (441 nucleotides) under uncultured bacterium. RNAcentral describes it as "partial 16S ribosomal RNA". It matches the Rfam family "Bacterial small subunit ribosomal RNA", at positions 338 to 795 of the family's 1533-position model. The record is from RNAcentral.